This 2868-nucleotide ribosomal RNA is filed under the name Triticum aestivum (bread wheat). RNAcentral describes it as "partial small subunit ribosomal RNA". The record is from RNAcentral. Lineage: Eukaryota; Viridiplantae; Streptophyta; Magnoliopsida; Poales; Poaceae.
AUGGCGGCGGCCUCGCAGGAGAAGCAGCAGCAGCUGCCGACGUUUGGCGUGCUGAGGAACGCGGCGGCGCUGCUCGACGAAAUGCAGCUCAUGGGGGAGGCGCAGGGCGCCAAGAAGGUGAUCAACUCGGAGCUCUGGCACGCCUGCGCCGGCCCGCUCGUCUGCCUGCCGCAGCGCGGGAGCCUCGUCUACUACUUCCCCCAAGGCCACAGCGAGCAGGUUGCGGCGACCACCAAGAAGACGCCCAACUCCCGCAUCCCCAACUACCCGAGCCUGCCGUCGCAGCUGCUGUGCCAAGUCCACAACAUCACCAUGCAUGCCGACAAGGACACCGAUGAGGUCUACGCACAGAUGACUCUGCAACCAGUGAACUCUGAAACCGACGUGUUCCCGAUCCCGUCUCUCGGCAGCUAUGCCAAGAGCAAGCAUCCAGCUGAGUACUUCUGCAAGAAUUUGACCGCGAGCGACACGAGCACGCAUGGCGGUUUCUCGGUGCCGCGAAGAGCUGCAGAGAAGCUGUUCCCACAGCUGGAUUACUCGAUGCAACCUCCGAAUCAGGAGCUUAUCGUCCGGGAUUUGCAUGAUAACAUGUGGACGUUUCGUCACAUUUAUCGUGGACAGCCGAAGCGACAUCUUCUAACGACUGGAUGGAGUCUGUUUGUCGGCGCGAAACGGCUUAAAGCAGGGGAUUCUGUCUUAUUUAUCAGGGAUGAGAAGUCACAACUACUUGUGGGUGUUAGGCGUGCCACCAAUCAGCAAACGGCAUUGUCAUCAUCGGUUCUGUCCACUGAUAGUAUGCACAUAGGUGUUCUGGCUGCUGCAGCUCAUGCUGCAUCAAGUGGUAGUUCAUUUACCAUUUACUACAAUCCUAGGACGAGCCCAUCGCCGUUUGUGGUUCCUGUAGCAAGGUACAAUAAGGCCAACUAUAUCCAGCAAUCUGUUGGCAUGAGAAUGGCUAUGAUGUUUGAGACAGAGGAGUCAAGCAAGCGCAGAUACACUGGUACAAUUGUGGGAGUUAGCGACUCUGAUCCGAUGAGAUGGCCCAACUCCAAAUGGCGCAACUUGCAGAUUGAAUGGGAUGAACAUGGAUACGGAGAAAGACCCGAGCGUGUGAGCAUAUGGGACAUUGAAACUCCGGAGAACACUAUAGUGUUCCCUUCUGCAUCAUUGAAUUCGAAGCGACAAUGCCUGCCUGGUUAUGGAGUGCCUGGGCUAGAUAUUGCAUCUGUAAAUAUGUCACCAUUUCAGAGGGCACCUGGAAAUCCUUAUGGUAACUUGCAGCACAUGCCCGCCGUUGGAUCAGAAUUGGCUAUGAUGAUGUUUCUGAAUCAAUCUGGCCAAAACAUAGGGACUCCACUCAGUUGUCACCAGUCCUCUUAUUCUAGUAUUAUUCAAAAUGUCAAGCAAAACUACAUGCCUCCUUCAACAUUUGGUCAUCCCAUUGGUUCAAUAAAGCCAGAAAGCAUGCCUUCCAAUGAAGUCCAGCAGCAGCAGCAGUUGCAUGCUCCUAAGAUGCAGAGAGGCGACUCAGAAAGCUGUGAAGUUCAUCCUGCCACUGAUUCAGUUUCUGCGUCGGAGCUACAUGUUGCAGGAAGAGAGCCAAGAAACACAGAUAAAUAUCCAAGUCAAAGCAUUUCAGAGCAAAAUGGCAAGGGUGAGCCUAGAGUCAAGCCUCGGAGGAGCAAGAAAGGUUCAUCCCGCAAAACCAUUUCAGAGAAUUCUGAACUUUCUUCGGCACCUUCACAGAUUUGCGAUGACCAACUGCAUGUUUCAGAAGCAGAACUAAUCAGUUGUGACACCAAAAAUGUUAACUGUGGUAACAAUGAAGGUUCAUCUGGUGCACUUACUCAUGGUGAUUUUGCUGGACAGCUGCAGUGUCAGCAGGUCGAACAAAAUGAGCUGGUGUCACCACCAAAGUUGGAAUCAUCAAUAUCACCUGAUGGAGGGAAGUCAGUCAACUCAUUUCCCAACCAGGCGUCUUUUUCGCAGUUCUUCGAUGGUCUGGAUUGGAUGGUUCAGCCUCCCUAUUACCAAGACUCCAAUGGCAUUCAGUCAGUUAGUGCAUCAGAGAACAUCUUCAGUCCAUCUGCUAAUAUGGCUUCCACAAUAAAUACUGAUACUCUAGAAACUUUUCAGAACUCUUGCCUCUCAGACUGCUUCCCAAAUUCCAUACAAGACUUCGUCGGCAGCCCGGAUCUGCAUUCGCUAACAUUUCUGUCACCUGAGAUGCAAAAUCUGGAUGUGCACCACGACGGAAGCAACGUACCGAGCACAUCCAACUCAUAUGUACAAAUGAGCUUCUCUGAAGAUGAUAGUGGAAAUCACAUGGAAUCCAUGCAAAGAGGAAUGAAUAACAUCUCCUCAUGCUCUCAACCGCAGACUACCGAGGGCUUCAAUCUGGGGAUGUACUCAAAGUUGCCAAGUUUGAAGGAGUCUCAAGUUCUGUCUCUGCCAGAGAUCCAUAACAGUUCCAGGGGGACAUCGUCUUGCAGCAUGGAUGCGGCAGAGUACAGCAUCGACCGAAAUGCGAAGCCGAUGAAACCACCGGUGCGGACAUAUACAAAGGUUCAAAAGCUAGGAUCUGUUGGAAGAUCUAUUGACGUCACACGGUAUAGAGAUUACCGUGAGCUGAGAUCAGCCAUCGCCUCCAUGUUUGGACUCCAGGGGAAGCUUGAGCACCCUGCUAGUUCAGACUGGAAGCUCGUGUACGUCGACUACGAAAACGAUGUGCUUCUUGUCGGGGAUGAUCCAUGGGAGGAAUUCAUCAACUGCGUCCGAUGCAUCCGGAUCCUCUCACCUUCGGAAGUACAACAGAUGAGCGAGAACGGCAUGCAAGUCUUGAACGACUGCAUCCAAGCAGACCAGUAG